RNAcentral lists this ribosomal RNA (253 nucleotides) under uncultured bacterium. RNAcentral's name for it is "partial 16S ribosomal RNA". It matches the Rfam family "Bacterial small subunit ribosomal RNA", at positions 524 to 776 of the family's 1533-position model. The record is from RNAcentral.
UACGUAGGUGGCAAGCGUUGUCCGGAUUUACUGGGCGUAAAGAGCGCGCAGGCGGUCGAAUAAGUCGAAUGUGAAAGCCCCGGGCUUAACCUGGGAAUGGCAUUUGGGACUGCAAGGCUUGAGUGCGGCAGAGGAGACUGGAAUUCCCGGUGUAGCAGUGAAAUGCGUAGAUAUCGGGAGGAAUACCGAUGGCGAAGGCAGGUCUCUGGGCUGACACUGACGCUCAUGCACGAAAGCGUGGGGAGCAAACAGG